GCGGGGGUACCAGAGUCAGGUCAAACGUCAAGGACCAAAUGGGCGGGUCGCGCCCUAGCAUGCGCGCGCUACACUCAAGACCCCAUUUCCAAAGGAAGUGUCAAAGAUGAUGCUUCCAAGGCAAGGCGCGGGUGUGUUAUCCCGUGGCGUAGGCCUUCGUGGGUUCGAAUCCCACCCCCCGCACCA
This 186-nucleotide transfer RNA is filed under the name Candidatus Bathyarchaeota archaeon. Its description in RNAcentral is "tRNA-OTHER". RNAcentral also lists the same sequence under 1 other name. Lineage: Archaea; Thermoproteati; Candidatus Bathyarchaeota. The record is from RNAcentral.